Grammomys surdaster is the source of this 126-nucleotide small nucleolar RNA. RefSeq annotates it as small nucleolar RNA SNORA17. The transcript has a single exon. NCBI's taxonomy places the organism in Eukaryota, Metazoa, Chordata, Mammalia, Rodentia, Muridae. The record is from RefSeq and is a predicted model, not a curated record.
CCUGCACCAGAGGUGUUGCAGGUAUGGCUGCUAUGUCACUUGUUCAUUGGUAGGUGGCAGAGAAAGGAUGUGUCCAUGCUCAGUGUUCUGACUUGUGAAUAUUUGAAUGAUUAGUAGCCUAACACU